This 510-nucleotide ribosomal RNA is filed under the name uncultured bacterium. RNAcentral's name for it is "bacterial SSU rRNA". It matches the Rfam family "Bacterial small subunit ribosomal RNA", at positions 28 to 549 of the family's 1533-position model. The record is from RNAcentral.
GAUGAACGCUAGCGGCAGGCCUAAUACAUGCAAGUCGUACGGUCCCUUCGGGGAUAGUGGCGCACGGGUGCGUAACGCGUAUGCAACCUACCUCUUACUGGGGGAUAGCCCGGGGAAACCCGGAUUAAUACCGCAUAAUACUAUUUGAUGGCAUCUGAAGAUAGUUAAAACUCCGGUGGUAAGAGAUGGGCAUGCGUGCCAUUAGCUAGUUGGUAGUGUAACGGACUACCAAGGCUACGAUGGCUAGGGGUUCUGAGAGGAUGAUCCCCCANACUGGUACUGAGAUACGGACCAGACUCCUACGGGAGGCAGCAGUAGGGAAUAUUGGGCAAUGGACGGAAGUCUGACCCAGCCAUGCCGCGUGAAGGAAGAAGGCCUUCUGGGUUGUAAACUUCUUUUAUAUGGGAAGAAAAAGCGCUUGCGAGCGAAACUGACGGUACCAUAUGAAUAAGCACCGGCUAACUCCGUGCCAGCAGCCGCGGUAAUACGGAGGGUGCAAGCGUGUCCGGU